AAAUUGAAGAGUUUGAUCAUGGCUCAGAUUGAACGCUGGCGGCAGGCCUAACACAUGCAAGUCGAGCGGUAGCACAGAGAGCUUGCUCUCGGGUGACGAGCGGCGGACGGGUGAGUAAUGUCUGGGAAACUGCCUGAUGGAGGGGGAUAACUACUGGAAACGGUAGCUAAUACCGCAUAAUGUCGCAAGACCAAAGUGGGGGACCUUCGGGCCUCAUGCCAUCAGAUGUGCCCAGAUGGGAUUAGCUAGUAGGUGGGGUAACGGCUCACCUAGGCGACGAUCCCUAGCUGGUCUGAGAGGAUGACCAGCCACACUGGAACUGAGACACGGUCCAGACUCCUACGGGAGGCAGCAGUGGGGAAUAUUGCACAAUGGGCGCAAGCCUGAUGCAGCCAUGCCGCGUGUGUGAAGAAGGCCUUCGGGUUGUAAAGCACUUUCAGCGGGGAGGAAGGCGAUAAGGUUAAUAACCUUGUCGAUUGACGUUACCCGCAGAAGAAGCACCGGCUAACUCCGUGCCAGCAGCCGCGGUAAUACGGAGGGUGCAAGCGUUAAUCGGAAUUACUGGGCGUAAAGCGCACGCAGGCGGUCUGUCAAGUCGGAUGUGAAAUCCCCGGGCUCAACCUGGGAACUGCAUUCGAAACUGGCAGGCUAGAGUCUUGUAGAGGGGGGGGUAGAAUUCCAGGUGUAGCGGUGAAAUGCGUAGAGAUCUGGAGGAAUACCGGUGGCGAAGGCGGCCCCCUGGACAAAGACUGACGCUCAGGUGCGAAAGCGUGGGGAGCAAACAGGAUUAGAUACCCUGGUAGUCCACGCCGUAAACGAUGUCGAUUUGGAGGUUGUGCCCUUGAGGCGUGGCUUCCGGAGCUAACGCGUUAAAUCGACCGCCUGGGGAGUACGGCCGCAAGGUUAAAACUCAAAUGAAUUGACGGGGGCCCGCACAAGCGGUGGAGCAUGUGGUUUAAUUCGAUGCAACGCGAAGAACCUUACCUGGUCUUGACAUCCACAGAACUUUCCAGAGAUGGAUUGGUGCCUUCGGGAACUGUGAGACAGGUGCUGCAUGGCUGUCGUCAGCUCGUGUUGUGAAAUGUUGGGUUAAGUCCCGCAACGAGCGCAACCCUUAUCCUUUGUUGCCAGCGGUCCGGCCGGGAACUCAAAGGAGACUGCCAGUGAUAAACUGGAGGAAGGUGGGGAUGACGUCAAGUCAUCAUGGCCCUUACGACCAGGGCUACACACGUGCUACAAUGGCAUAUACAAAGAGAAGCGACCUCGCGAGAGCAAGCGGACCUCAUAAAGUAUGUCGUAGUCCGGAUUGGGAGUCUGCAACUCGACUCCAUGAAGUCGGAAUCGCUAGUAAUCGUAGAUCAGAAUGCUACGGUGAAUACGUUCCCGGGCCUUGUACACACCGCCCGUCACACCAUGGGAGUGGGUUGCAAAAGAAGUAGGUAGCUUAACCUUCGGGAGGGCGCUUACCACUUUGUGAUUCAUGACUGGGGUGAAGUCGUAACAAGGUAACCGUAGGGGAACCUGCGGUUGGAUCACCUCCUUACCUUAAAGAA
This 1553-nucleotide ribosomal RNA is filed under the name Klebsiella pneumoniae. RNAcentral describes it as "bacterial SSU rRNA". It matches the Rfam family "Bacterial small subunit ribosomal RNA". The record is from RNAcentral. Lineage: Bacteria; Pseudomonadati; Pseudomonadota; Gammaproteobacteria; Enterobacterales; Enterobacteriaceae.